UCAAAGCAACACCACCACAGACAGCUUGCCAACGGACAUCAAUGAAACCUUUUCCAGUACUUUUGUAUAGCUGCUUGUAUAGCAUGAAGUGAUCAGUACUUUCCUUGUAUCUCUGAGAUUGUGUUUUGAAUCAGAUGUAGGUGUGAAAUUGAAAAGGAAAUAAGAAUUACAACCUCCUCCUCAACUACACUGGCAACAAAAUGUUAUCCAUGGCUCUGGUUACUUUGACUGGAAAGGAUUGGAGUGUCUAUAUAAGGUGGGAGGUCAGAAGAUGCAUGAGUUUUCAGUAUUUAGUUACAGCUAUUUUGUCAGUGACUUAAAUGAAGACAAUGAAGAUUUUUGCCUUUAAUGAGGAUAAGAAUGACCCAAGAUUGGAUGGAUCACAGGCUCCAGGGAGAAGUUGAAGACAUUUCCUUUUUCACUCAACUUAACUCUGCUUUAAAUUCCUAAUUUGCUUAGUUCAAUAGUUCAAUCACAAACAUCGCUUUUUCUUCAUUCGCCGGUUCGAUUGAAUCCCAGGUUUUAUAUUCAUAACUACAUACCAAUGUAUAUGUGAACACAGAAAGUAUAAGUAUGAUUAAAUAUGUAUUCUUGAACAUUAAUAAUUUACCUUUGUUAUGCUAUAGCGGACAUUAGAUGUUGUAGUUAAUUUUGGAUGGCCAUCUACAUCUUACGAGGCAGUUUUGGAUGUAAUGUAAUUUCUAAUACUGCCUGGUAAUGAUGAUGAUGACUUUCUGCAGGCCUAAUUUAGAGAGCAUAAUUACAGUAGUUUUGUAGUUUAUAUGUGUGCAGUAUAAUAAGCAAUUCACACACUGACUGGCUAUUAAACCUUUAAAUUGUUAGACAGUAAAAAAACAUUAAAUUCUGCAAUUAAGUACAUCAAAUCAUUUUAGGUGAUGGGAGAUUUUUGUAAAAAUGGCAUUUCCAAAUGCUCAAAACCUAUGUCCUACAUGUAAAGAGAUUACAAUAGAUUGUUGAUUAAGGUCUACUUGGCUCCCCGAGCACAUCUUACCUGGCAGUGCUGGGCUGUAACAAGUGUUCUAACACUGUCUGGUAAUGAUGUUCUCUGAGUGCUGCACAAACAACCAGACAAACAAGAUCAACAGUUAAUUAGAGUAUCUACAUUGUUCAAGCCUUUAACAGGUAUCUGUCUCUGGUAUAUUCAAUAUUUUGCUCAUGGCAUUAUCAAGUGGAGAAUUAAUCAAAUAACAAUGAAUACAGAAGUCUUCUUUUAUGAAAAGGUCAAUAUUUUGGGGGGUUAAAAAAAGGUCCAACUUAUUAGGGAGUUUAGGGAACCAAUGGUAAUAUGUGUCACCCUUAGCAGUUAACAACAUCCAGAGAAGCAGUAGAGAGGUAUGGGUCGGGUAGAUGAUUUAAGAAGGAUAUUUAUUGAAGGUAGAUAGAUAGGCACCUCCUCUAUUCUCUUUGUCCAUUGUAUUGAUUUUCCACCCUACCCUGUAGUUAAAGAAUACUAGUCAAAUGACUGCAUAACAGAGCAGCUCCCUCUCCCCCUCCCCCAGUUUGAGGUUGUACUGUACCUCCAGUGUCUCCUGAUUGGCUGUGCUUACUGUACCUGCAUGGAACAUUGAAUGUCUGACACCUGAGAUCUGUGUGAGAAAAAUAAACAGAACAAUCACAAUAGCA
Long non-coding RNA from Osmerus eperlanus (European smelt), 1644 nucleotides. RefSeq lists it as uncharacterized. The record is from RefSeq and is a predicted model, not a curated record. The transcript has 2 exons. NCBI's taxonomy places the organism in Eukaryota, Metazoa, Chordata, Actinopteri, Osmeriformes, Osmeridae.